UUCUAGAGAGGAGCUAAGAGACUGUUUUU
Molecule: non-coding RNA, 29 nt
Filed under: Cricetulus griseus (Chinese hamster)
Lineage: Eukaryota; Metazoa; Chordata; Mammalia; Rodentia; Cricetidae
Source: RNAcentral